This 253-nucleotide ribosomal RNA is filed under the name uncultured bacterium. RNAcentral describes it as "partial 16S ribosomal RNA". It matches the Rfam family "Bacterial small subunit ribosomal RNA", at positions 524 to 776 of the family's 1533-position model. The record is from RNAcentral.
UACGAGUGCCCCGAGCGUUAUCCGGAAUCAUUGGGCGUAAAGGGUGUGUAGGCGGUUUUCUUAGUCUUCUGUCAAAUUCUUCGGCUUAACCGGGGGCUCGCAGAGGAAACGGGAAAACUAGAGGAUGGGAGAGGUGAAUGGAACUCAUGGUGUAGGGGUGAAAUCCGUUGAUAUCAUGGGGAACACCAGUGGCGAAGGCGGCGACCUGGGCCAAUACUGACGCUGAGGUGCGAAAGCGUGGGGAGCAAACAGG